GCUGAGCCGAAUGAUGCUACAAUUGUCAACGUCAUGUUCUUCUGUUUGUUCCUUGAGUUCAGACCAGCAGGUGCAUUCCUUUAUCAGUACACUGCCAUAUCUCAGGGUGAGUAACAAUUGGAGAUGCCUUGAUCAACAUGAACGUCAAGUGUGGUGGACAUUUGUGUGCGGGUCUUUCCCUUUUUAAGACCCUGUAGUGCAAAUAUAUCAUUUGGUCACAACAAUAAGCUGUAUGGCCAUGAGUUGACCAUACUGCUCUUUUCCCGAACUAGGCAGUGGGGUUUCUCCUGAUACUGAAAUCUUCCUUGGGUUGUUAACAGCAUGCAGUGAUGCAAACCUGGUAAAGCAACUGUUGAUGUUCUUCAAUGCUAUGAAGAAAGUUCACUGGAAUCUCCUUGAAACACAGAAUGAUGCUUGUUUGGUCGAUAUGUAUGGUCGAGCUGGGCUCUUGGAGGAAGCAGAGGCUUUUUAAGAAUUGCAUGUGGAAGCUUCUGGUUGUGUUAGAUGAGCAGGUACUUGAUGCUUUCAAAAUUCAUGGGAAUGAGAGGAUGGUUGAGAGAAUUAGACAAGGACUCUUGAAUAAUGAGAGAGCGAGAAAUGGAAUGUGCCCUGUUACCCAAUGCUUUUGCUAAACAUGAAAGGUGGGAUGAUAAGGUUCAUGAUGAAUUAAGGAGUAUUGGGUUUGAAGAGUGACACAGCCAGGUUCUAGCUGAUUGAGAUCAAUUGAUCCAAUAUACCUAUACUUCGUAUGAUCCUCAUACUACCAAAUAUGGUGUGGUUUCAGAAAUUUGAGUGAAUAUGGUGAUAUCUGAAGAUAAAACCCAGUUUGAGAUGUGUCAAAUCGUUCUCUGAAAAAUGAGAACCAGAAGAGGGGUUGAAGCUGCAGAGGAACAGAGAAGUAGGAAUCAGUAACGGCCAAUAAGAUGGACCCAACCUGUCAGCGCGAAGAUCAAAGGCAGAAUUAGCAGUAGAUGUGAGCUUUGGUGUGCUCUCUGGCGCUUGUGACUUGGGGAGCUGAACCACUAGUUAUCUGGAAAAUGAAGGCUGAAACUUACAGGAAUUGGUAUUACUAGCAAGGAAAUGGAGCAAGAUUGUUGUUUAUUGGAAGAAUCUCAAUUCAGUCAUUAAAAAGACUACGGCAUCAGAGAAGCCUAAAAUACCUGAUCACCAAAAUCUAGAUUCCUGCUAGUGAUUUCUUUUCUGCACGAAUCUCAGGGGAUGGAAGUAGA
RNA transcript from Fragaria vesca subsp. vesca, 1229 nucleotides. RefSeq lists it as uncharacterized. The record is from RefSeq and is a predicted model, not a curated record. The transcript is spliced from 2 exons. Lineage: Eukaryota; Viridiplantae; Streptophyta; Magnoliopsida; Rosales; Rosaceae.